CCUACGGGAGGCAGCAGUGAGGAAUAUUAGUCAAUGGACGAGAGUCUGAACCAGCCAAGUAGCGUGAAGGAUGACUGCCCUAUGGGUUGUAAACUUCUUUUAUAAAGGAAUAAAACGAGGCACGUGUGCCUUUUUGCAUGUACUUUAUGAAUAAGGAUCGGCUAACCCCGUGCCAGCAGCCGCGGUACUACGGAGGAUCCGAGCGUUAUCCGGAUUUAUUGGGUUUAAAGGGAGCGUAGAUGGGUUGUUAAGUCAGUUGUGAAAGUUUGCGGCUCAACCGUACAAUUGCAAUUGAUACUGGCAGUCGUGAGUACAGUUGAGGUAGGCGGAAUUCGUGGUGUAGCGGUGAAAUGCUUAGAUAUCACGAAGAACCCCGAUUGCGAAGGCAGCUUACUAAACUGUGACUGACAUUGAUGCUCGAAAGUGUGGGUAUCAAACAGGAUUAGAUACCCCUGUAGUC
Molecule: ribosomal RNA, 460 nt
Filed under: uncultured bacterium
Lineage: Bacteria
Description: partial 16S ribosomal RNA
Rfam family: Bacterial small subunit ribosomal RNA
Source: RNAcentral